GAAGGUAUAGCUCAGUGGUGGAGCCUGUGUUUAGCAUGCACGAGGUCCUGGGUUCAAUCCCCAGGACCUUCA
Transfer RNA from Camelus ferus (Wild Bactrian camel), 72 nucleotides. It matches the Rfam family "tRNA". From Rfam's summary of the family: Transfer RNA (tRNA) molecules are approximately 80 nucleotides in length. Their secondary structure includes four short double-helical elements and three loops (D, anti-codon, and T loops). The record is from Rfam. Lineage: Eukaryota; Metazoa; Chordata; Mammalia; Artiodactyla; Camelidae.